RNAcentral lists this long non-coding RNA (981 nucleotides) under Erythranthe guttata (spotted monkey flower). RNAcentral's name for it is "long non-coding RNA (EGUT_LNC002862)". The record is from RNAcentral. Lineage: Eukaryota; Viridiplantae; Streptophyta; Magnoliopsida; Lamiales; Phrymaceae.
CGGGGUCAAUGUGUAAUAUUAAGAAAGUUAGGGCAUAAUGGAUGGAAUUGAUAAAAAUUAUAUUAUGGAGGAUAUUUUAGACUAAAGACAUGGGAAUGAGUUUAUUUGAAAGACUGUUUUUUUUUUACCAAUGUGCAUUUAAGUCCCUUGUCAUGGGCCUAUUUGCCACUCGCCCUAUAACUUUCCCGUACUAAAUACAACCUUAUCUUAGAAUUAACUUAUUUAGCUAACCAAAUAAGCGCAUGAUCUAUUACAUGCAUGAUACAUAACCAAAGUCAAAUUCCCAUAAUAUUAAAUCACCUCACAAAACUCUAAAACCAUAAAAUAAAAUAAAAAUAAAAAUAAAUAGAGAAAGACAAAAGAAGAUAUUAGUUAUCCACCUAUUAAAUUUAACAAAAGUUAUUAAAUUAAAGGAGUAAGUUCACGCUAUGCAUUUAGCCAAGAACCUAAGUCUUUUUUCAAAUAAAUUGCACGCGUGAUAUAUACAUAUCAACCGGCCAGUUCUUUUUAUUUUUCAAUUUAUUUCUUCUGGAUCUUAUUUUUGUUGCACUUGAGCUUGAGCCAACUCACACCGGUCGACGCCCCCUCCUUGACCUUUUUGACCCCCACCUUCGUUUUCUCCACCCCCGCGGAUGCCACCUCCUUAGUUGCCUCCUUUGUCCGCUCGAACUUUUGGCUGACUCUCGUCGAAAGCUUCGGGGAUGGCCCACCGAGCCUCUCAGCCUUGGGGACCGACUUGGUGCUGGCCCCCCACGGGUUAUCGAUAAUCGCCAUUGUUUUUUAACCUAGUUUUUGGUGCUACCGUAUCCUCUCAAGAAAAGACUGAUUUUUCGUUGAGUCUUUCUUGAGAAUAUGUUAUAAAAGAUGGUUAUGAUGAUGAAGAUGUACAAAUUAAGGAUGUGUGCUUUUUAAUAUUUGAGGUUCAUGGACGAGCUUUUUUUACGGGUUAUUCUUACGGUAGUUCGAAGCAAUGGUGCGUAC